GGGUUUGGGUUGCUAACUCAAUGGUAGAGUACUCGGCUUUUAAAGUUCCGGGUUCGAGUCCCGGGCAACCCA
RNAcentral lists this transfer RNA (72 nucleotides) under Eriocaulon cinereum. Its description in RNAcentral is "tRNA-Lys". It matches the Rfam family "tRNA". From Rfam's summary of the family: Transfer RNA (tRNA) molecules are approximately 80 nucleotides in length. Their secondary structure includes four short double-helical elements and three loops (D, anti-codon, and T loops). Further hydrogen bonds mediate the characteristic L-shaped molecular structure. tRNAs have two regions of fundamental functional importance: the anti-codon, which is responsible for specific mRNA codon recognition, and the 3' end, to which the tRNAs corresponding amino acid is attached (by aminoacyl-tRNA synthetases). tRNAs cope with the degeneracy of the genetic code in two manners: having more than one tRNA (with a specific anti-codon) for a particular amino acid; and 'wobble' base-pairing, i.e. permitting non-standard base-pairing at the 3rd anti-codon position. The record is from RNAcentral. Lineage: Eukaryota; Viridiplantae; Streptophyta; Magnoliopsida; Poales; Eriocaulaceae. RNAcentral also lists the same sequence under 1 other name.